Molecule: long non-coding RNA, 915 nt
Organism: Homo sapiens (human)
Lineage: Eukaryota; Metazoa; Chordata; Mammalia; Primates; Hominidae
Product: long intergenic non-protein coding RNA 635
Source: Ensembl
CUCACUCUCACGAGAACAGCAUGUGGGAAACCAGGGAAACUGUCCCCAUGAUCCAGUGACCUCCCACCAGGUCCCUCCCUUGACACAACAGAGAUUACAAUUUGAGAUGAGAUUUGGAUGGAGACACAGAGCCAAACCAUAUUAAGCCUGUUCUGCUGGGACACAGAAUCACUUGCUCCAUCUCAUACAUUGAUGAUGAUUAAUUUGUAUGUGUACCUUCCAAAAAAGAUGGUUGUGUUUGAAUGGAGGCCUUCUGGACAGGAAAAUAUACAGUGAACCCACAUGUUGAAGCUUUCUAGUAUAAUAAAAAUUUCAACUGUUCUGUUGAAUCAUCUGCCUGAUUGGAGGCUACAGAAAAGAUGUCAUCUUAGGAGUGCUUGCUCUGAGUGAGGCUCAUCUUCAAAUCUGAAUGACCACAAGGAGAUUUGAUUAUACAUGUGAACACCUCAGAAGGCACAGCCCACCCAGAAGGCAGACAGGUCAGGCUGCUUUUUCUUCAUUGCUUGGAUUCAAUCCUCCGGGCGGCUCAGGCUCAAACAUAACUUAAGCAUGAUUAAACUUUAGAAGAAGCUGCCAGGAAGACUGUGAAAUCUUCAUGCCCAAGGAUCCCUAAAAUUAGGAGCAACAACCACUUGGCUCAGACGGUUUAUGGAGGCAAAGGUUUGGAUGGGAUUAGAGAUUUCUAAAUGUGAGUUCGUGUCCUCUGCCAGACCACCUUACUUCCACCAUUCCUCAGCAAAUCAAGAAAAACAGGAGAAAAGACAUGCCUUUCCAUAAGUUAAAUCUAUUCUGUUUUAAUUCUAUAUUAUAUCUGCUGUACAACUUCUUUUGUUUGUAACACCAUAUUGUUGCUAGUAACUGGAAAUUAAUUUUCACAUGCCUCAGCUUAGAAAAAUAAAAAGCAGCCCUGCAUCA